GUGAGGAAUUUUGCGCAAUGGGGGAAACCCUGACGCAGCAACGCCGCGUGAGUGAUGAAGGCCUUCGGGUCGUAAAGCUCUGUCAGGUGGGAAGAAACAUCUGGGGGUGAACAGCCCUUAGAAUUGACGGUACCACCAGAGGAAGCACCGGCCAACUCCGUGCCAGCAGCCGCGGUAAUACGGAGGGUGCAAGCGUUGUUCGGAAUUAUUGGGCGUAAAGGGCGCGUAGGCGGUCCAAUAAGUCGGAUGUGAAAGCCCUGGGCUCAACCCAGGAAGGGCAUCCGAAACUGCUGGACUUGAGUACGGGAGAGGGAAGUGGAAUUCCUGGUGUAGGGGUGAAAUCCGUAGAUAUCAGGAGGAACACCGGUGGCGAAGGCGACUUCCUGGACCGAUACUGACGCUGAGGCGCGAAAGCGUGGGGAGCAAACAGGAUUAGAAACCCGGGUAGUCC
Molecule: ribosomal RNA, 451 nt
Filed under: uncultured bacterium
Lineage: Bacteria
Description: bacterial SSU rRNA
Rfam family: Bacterial small subunit ribosomal RNA
Source: RNAcentral